Zophobas morio is the source of this 4466-nucleotide long non-coding RNA. RefSeq lists it as uncharacterized. NCBI's taxonomy places the organism in Eukaryota, Metazoa, Arthropoda, Insecta, Coleoptera, Tenebrionidae. The transcript is spliced from 6 exons. The record is from RefSeq and is a predicted model, not a curated record.
GUCAUGUUGGUACAAAACACUUUGGUGGUGUUGUAAGUAAACAAAGGCAAUGGAGAAUCUUGGCACUGCAUGUAAAACAAUGGCCACUUGCCAGACUUGUCGUUGCGGUGAAAAAUUUCCAAUAGCGGCGGAGAUGGACGGUAAAAUAUUAAAUACUUGACAAUGGGUGUAUGUUGCAUUUUCAAAAUGAAACACCACGGAAUAGACGAUACAGAAUAAAAACGCGAACAAAGGUUAUAACAGCUGUUUGGUUUGUUGAUUGUUGAUGAGCAUUCAUACUAGUCACGAAGAGUGACGAAUACAAACGAACAGAGGAAUCAUGCGCUGGCUGGGUCUGGUCCCUAGUGUUGACCACGUGUUGACGUUGCCAGCUGUGGUUGACAGCGCGGGGGCAACACCAUUGCAAAACAUCACCACAGUAGACAUCACUUCGUACUUCGAAAUAUUUGGAAUAAUCUCAAUGUGAGUACCUUUUACUUUAAAAUAACCUGGAGGAAAUGGAAACCCUUGAAUGGAUCUAGUAAAGUCGGGACCAUUAGUAUAAAACCACUCCCUAGUGUAAGUUUUCAAAAUUUGUUGAGUGUAAGUUGAAUUAAUGGGUUUUGGUGAGAUUUUUGGGGGAAAUCUUCUGUUAGGUUAUGAUGCUGUCAAUAAUUUGUCAAAUAGGGACUUGUAAAACAGCAAAAUGAUAAAGAGUAUCCAAAUAUCUGUUGAUCAGCACAGGUGGUUACCACUUACGCAGAUACAAAAUUACCGAAGACUUCUGUAUAAAAACAAGUCAAAAAGUUGAAUAAAUUAACGUAUGUAAGUAUGCCAAGAACUUUGAGAAACAUAUCCAAAUCCAAUUUCUACGAUAUUCAUGUUGAGUUAGCAGUGACUGGAAAAUACUUGUAGGUAAAUUAUAGGCCAAGGUAGUGAAGUAAACAGUAUAUAUGUCUCUUAUCUAUGCUGAAGAUAAUCAUUAGAUAGACUGAACGCAGAUUAGAGCACGAGACGUGAAGCGUCAAGGAUUAUUGUAAGCGUGAGGUCUAUAUAUCUUCACUACCGUGGCGUAGGUAUAUGCUAUUUUUUUUCACUAGUAGCGCACUACAAAACACAUUUGAAAAAUUUUCGAUUUAUUAAAAGGAACAUAACAUCACUAACAUCACCUAACUAGGUUUUGAUGUUUUCCGUCAUUAUUUUUCGACGUUUGAAAAGUUUUGGUUUCAUGUUGGAAAUAUAUCAAGCUGUGAACUAUGUACCCCUCUAGAGAUACUGUUCCUCGUGAAAAUGAUUUAAAAAAUCUGACCGUUAAAAUAGAAUGGUUAUUGACCCUCGGUGAACAUUAACUUCACUUCCAUUAGCCAAAUUUAAUUACCAUUAUGGAGAAAAAUGAAUUUAUUACUCACAGACAAAGCAUGAUAGUGGUGCAUCUCUACGCUACUAGUGAAAAAAAUUAAUUAUACGCUUGUAGGUGCGUAGGUAUUUCGAUUCAGGUCAGACAACAAACAAUACUCAAUUCCCACCAUAUAUCAAAUAAAGGAAAUUAUCUUGUAUGUAUAUCCUGCCACGCUGACUGUUUAAAUUUAAGAUGGUUUUCUUUACUUGAUGAAAAAAGUGUUCGAGUGACAAAACGUGGCAAACCAAUUUUUCUGUACUUUUUGUACUUAUGGAUUUUCCAAAUGUCUCUCAAAAGUUUGAAUCCUUCGAAAAAGAGCAUUAAAAAUGCUUGCAGUUAAAUAUUUAUUUGCAAACACAACUGCUAAAUUUGUUUACAAUUACUAAAAAAUGUUUCGACUUCAAAUAGGACAGCUACAUGGAAAAGAAGACAGUGAAACUCAUACAUAGAAAAAUGCCCCAUGGAAACUAAAAUUCAAAAUUUGUAGUACACACUUGAAUAUAGCUGUGGUUAAAUCAAAAACUUUGUUUCAGAGGACAGGUGUGUGUAAGACAUCUUUCUUUGAAUUGCUUAAUUGUGCUUCAUAGUAUAUGAUUUGUACAGCAAAAGGUUUUUAUUACAAAAUCUCUAACACACGAAACAGCAAUACAGUUUUAUGAGGGAAAAAUACAAAAUUGCAGAUGCUUAUAAUAAAAUAAGUGACUUCAUAACUUCCACUUGACAGUAGAAUUAGAACAGAUCCAAUAUAAUACAAUGCAAACAUAAGAUGUGCAUGUCCAUGCAAAUGAACAUUUAAAAACAAAUUGAAAGAGAAAUAAUAAGAAAGGUGGACUCAUAACUUAAGAGCAGCGUUUGAACAAAUUUAAUAUUAUCACAAUGAACUUAAUAGGUACUGUGUAUAUUUUAUGCAGAUAAGAAUACAAAAGACAGAAAUGAGAUGGGUGAACUUAUAACUACACCAGUGUUAUUGGAACAAAUUUAUUAUAGCAAUAUGAUAAAAACCUACUGUGGGAUAUUCAUGCAGAGAAACAAGAAAGGACUAGUGAAAUCUAAUUUAUCAUUCUCAGUGAUUACUUUAAAACGUAAAAAAAACAAUACAAUACAGUGCAAUUGUAUAGAGAUUAAUAAAUUUCCCGUUCUAUGUAGAUUACCAAAACAGUUAAUCAACAAAUUCUACUGUAAGAAGCUCCACAUCACUCUGAUUUUCAGAUUCUGUUGUUUCUAACAAACAAAUCUUUUGCUCAUCCUUGCAUACUAUUUUUCUUUCAUCUUCUUCUUCACUACAUUCAAGCAGAUUCUCAUCCUCCAAGGAAAUAUCGUCUGCAGAUUCUGAUCUAAAGCUUAUAAUUGAUUCAUCAUCAGAAUCUGCGAGUGAUAUAAUUAUCGGUGGUAUAUCUUGCACGCCUUCAUUCCCCAUCAAUCGCACCCAGUCUUCUUUCAUUAUUUGUUCACAAUGUUUAACACUAUUUAGCCACAUUUCGGGAGUAUAUUUAGACAGUGCUUUUUUCCAUAAAUUAGCAACUUUUAAUUUUCCUGAAGGCUGUUCAAGAAUAUGCUUGUUGUAAUAUUGUUUACAAAAACCCCAUACCAUUUCAAUGGGGUUGUACUGACAAUGGUAUGGGGGAAGUCGUAAUACUUGUAUGCCAUUUUUGGAUAGCAACUCGUCAAUUAAGUACUUUUUUCGGGAAAGAAUAUUAGGUUUUAUUAUUUCAUACAAUUGCUUUUUCGUUAAAUUACUAUCAAAGGGAAUUUCGUUUUGAUGCAACCAAAGUUGUAAUUUUGACUUUUGCCAAGAAAAAUUGGGGAGCUGUUCAGCAUGGACUGAAUGAUACGGCGCGUUAUCCAUAAUAACAACCACUUUGCCGCUCAUCUGUUUGACAUUUGGAAUUAGUUGUUGCUCAGUCCAUUGCUUAAACAGGUCCCCAGUCAUCGUCUUGUGAUAAUCUCUGCUAUCUACUUUGCUAUCCAAAAAUAAAUCGCAUCCUUCGAGAAAACCAAAAUUUGCCCCCGGCGUGAAGUAUUGUGAAUCGCUUUCCUUCAUUCAUGCAAACUUUCUCUGGCAUACCCCUUCUAUCACCUUCAAACACCCACCUUCUUACAGCAGAACCAUGUUCAUAGAUCCACGUUUCAUCGAGAAAAACGAACGUUACAUUCUGAUCUACCAGUUGCAAAUAUUGCCUUAAAAAUUUAAUUUUUUGGGAUUGAAGUCUAGGUCCCUCAAUUAAAAUUUUUCGGUUAUUCACUUUCUUGUACCUGUACCCCAUUGAUUUUAAAAUGCGUUUCAGUGUUGUUAAACUCGCUGUGUAUUCUAAUUCAGUUCUUGCAAAUUGAAAUAAAUCCCUUGCGGUGAAAUAUUCAUUCUUUUUAUUUCUUUGGUAGAUAUGUAGGCUCAAUUCUUCUUUAAAUAGGAAAUCAGUGUGAAAUCGACAUCUUGGUUUUCUGCCCGUUUGGGGAUCAAGAAUAGGAACGCCGGCAUUAUUUUGGGAAAUUAUGGUUCGGAUCUGACUUCUUGAGCACUAUAAAGGAUAAGGAAAUAAUGAGAAAUUAACGGUUGUGAUUGGCGGGUACAUAGGACAGAAUAUCUGAAAGCCGCUGCUUAUUCAAAAGGAGUACUGUACCGAAAAUAUGGUUGCGACUUUCUCUUCCAAUUGUCGAAUUGACAAAGUGGGACCGAGAUCGCCAAUUUCUCGGUAACAUUUUACCACAGCAGUCUUCAUUUUUUGCGACAGCAAAGUUCUUUUAUGUCGGGAAGGCAUAAUAUAGCUCUAAAAAAGCACGACUCGAACUUUUCGAAAAUUAUUGUUGCGCCUGUCAACUAGCUGUUAACGCGAAGCGUCAUGCGCGCUGUCGUUACAAACCGCAUUGAUCAUAAAAUACUAAACGGCAGUGCUGCCAACUUUACUUUUUAUCCGAUGGUUUUAUAGUAACGGUCCCGACUGUACUCCCAUUUGACGUCUAGAAGUAUUAUGGUGGAAGGUUUGUAUUUUUGUUAAUUUUUUGUUUAUAACAAAAUUGUUUUUUUAUUUUAUUGUUAAUUUUUGAAUUGUAUAUAUAGUCUUUUAAUGUUUAAUAUACUUCGUUUGUAAAA